UACGGGGGGGGUAAGCGUUGUUCGGAAUUACUGGGCGUAAAGGGCUCGUAGGCGGCCAACUAAGUCGGACGUGAAAUCCCUCGGCUUAACCGGGGAACUGCGUCUGAUACUGGAUGGCUUGAGAUUGGGAGAGGGAUGCGGAAUUCCAGGUGUAGCGGUGAAAUGCGUAGAUAUCUGGAGGAACACCGGUGGCGAAGGCGGCAUCCUGGACCAACACUGACGCUGAGGAGCGAAAGCCAGGGGAGCAAACGGG
RNAcentral lists this ribosomal RNA (253 nucleotides) under uncultured bacterium. RNAcentral describes it as "partial 16S ribosomal RNA". It matches the Rfam family "Bacterial small subunit ribosomal RNA", at positions 524 to 776 of the family's 1533-position model. The record is from RNAcentral.